CCUACGGGAUGCACCAGUGGGGAAUGUUGCACAAUGGGCGCAAGCCUGAUGCAGCCAUGCCGCGUGUGUGAAGAAGGCCUUCGGGUUGUAAAGCACUUUCAGCGGGGAGGAAGGCGCCAAGGUUAAUAACCUUGGCGAUUGACGUUACCCGCAGAAGAAGCACCGGCUAACUCCGUGCCAGCAGCCGCGGUAAUACGGAGGGUGCAAGCGUUAACCGGAAUUACUGGGCGUAAAGCGCACGCAGGCGGUCUGUCAAGUCGGAUGUGAAAUCCCCGGGCUCAACCUGGGAACUGCAUUCGAAACUGGCAGGCUAGAGUCUUGUAGAGGGGGGUAGAAUUCCAGGUGUAGCGGUGAAAUGCGUAGAGAUCUGGAGGAAUACCGGUGGCGAAGGCGGCCCCCUGGACAAAGACUGAAGCUCAGGUGCGAAAGCGUGGGGAGCAAACAGGAUUAGAUACCCUCGUAGUC
Molecule: ribosomal RNA, 465 nt
Filed under: uncultured bacterium
Lineage: Bacteria
Description: bacterial SSU rRNA
Rfam family: Bacterial small subunit ribosomal RNA
Source: RNAcentral